RNAcentral lists this ribosomal RNA (388 nucleotides) under uncultured bacterium. RNAcentral's name for it is "bacterial SSU rRNA". It matches the Rfam family "Bacterial small subunit ribosomal RNA", at positions 28 to 417 of the family's 1533-position model. The record is from RNAcentral.
GACGAACGCUGGCGGCGUGCUUAACACAUGCAAGUCGAGCGGUAAGGCCCUUUCGGGGGUACACGAGCGGCGAACGGGUGAGUAACACGUGGGUGACCUGCCUUUAGCUCUGGGAUAAGCCUGGGAAACUGGGUCUAAUACCGGAUAUGACUCCAUGAUGCAUGUUGUGGGGUGGAAAGCCUUGUGCGGCUGGAGAUGGGCCCGCGGCCUAUCAGCUUGUUGGUGGGGUGAUGGCCUACCAAGGCGACGACGGGUAGCCGGCCUGAGAGGGCGACCGGCCACACUGGGACUGAGACACGGCCCAGACUCCUACGGGAGGCAGCAGUGGGGAAUCUUGCGCAAUGGGCGAAAGCCUGACGCAGCGACGCCGCGUGAGGGAUGACGGCCU